CAAGGUGAGCCAUGGAUCAGAAUCAGCGGGCCCGUCUGAUCCGUCGGGAAGUUCGCUUUCCGUUCGGUGGGUACAGGCGGAAAUUGAAUGCAGGGUCCAGUAUCUUCUCUGCCUAGAGCGGUGCUCAUUUGGAAGCUCAGGCCUGCAGCGUAGAGAAAAAGAGCGGCGGCUGCGAGGCACCAUGGAUUUCCUGAUGCAGCCAAUCGAGGGAUCCACUCUCCUUGCAGAUUUAGGCGAGAGCUUGGUGCCGGUCCCUGUGCCGCAAGCGCCGUCGGGAGGCGCUAUGGUGGAGGAGUAGGAGGUGGCGGAGCAGCAACAGGCGGUGGACAGCGCAGACGCUCAGAUUUUCGCGGCCAAGGAGGCGGCGGCGGAUAGGAGGGAGAGCUCGCCUCCGACGUCGGAGCUGUCAGUUGGGAAGAUGAAUCCGCAGGUGGUGACUGUGUGGAACAAGAGGGUAAAGUUGGUGUUAAGAACACAAGGUCUUGCCGUUGCAAAUGUCAGACGCUGGGUGGUACAUCACAGAGCAUUGGGAGAGCCACAACCAUUCCCUUUCACCAAACUUUGGCGAGAUGGUGCAUUGGCCAUGGCACAAGCAUAUAUAUCUGAUAAAACAGUUGCGGCAAAACAAUGCCAACCUUGCGAAGGUGUAUGGUAUCAUAGGGAACUUCUUUGGAUCAAUGGAGAAUGUGCCAUUCACCAAAAGGUCUUUGCGCAAUCUCCGUGGGAAGAUAAAUAGGGAGCAGGUCGAUGAUGAUGAAGGUGUUUGCUGAAAUUGGGGCCAAGGAUCCGCAUUUCACAUACAAAAUUCAGGCUGACAAUGAGGGCGGGAUUAACAACCUGAUGUGGGCAAGUGGAAACAGCAAGCUGCAGUACACAUUUUUCAGGGAUGUGAUAACAUUUGACACCAUGUACUGGACUAAUUUGUACGAAAUGAUGUUCAGGCUAUUGUUGGUGUUAAUAGUCAUUUCCAGAGUACCAUCCUGGCAGAGGUGCUUGUUUGUGAUGAGACAACUGAGAGUUCUGAAUGUUUUCUCAGAAUUUCUUAGAGUGAUGGGCGGCGCUCCUCUGAUGACUAUACUUACUGGUAAGUUCUUGCUUUCCUGGUGUGUUUUGCAGACCCUAUUCAGGCUAUGGAGCUGGCUAUCAAAGAGCAUUAUGCCAGACACCACAUGCUGGCGGUGCAAGUGUCACAUGCUCAAGAACGCAAAGUAAACGUUGGGCCCUCUGUACACCAAGAAGAGUGAAUUCAAAGUAGAGUCCCAUGAGGUGGUGAACUACAUGCUCACGGUAGAUGGGUUUGAGAAUGGGUGGGUGAUGAUGUUGGAUGAAUACAACCUAUGGAGACGCCCAUACAUGACUCAACUUCUCGAGAUCAGAAAGAAAUGGACAAAGCCGUAUUUCGAAGGUGUUUUAUGUGCAACAAUGAGCACAUAAAGGAGUGAUGGUGUCUAAUGGAUAUGUUUGCGCAGAAGUAUAUGAUGCUUCUGUUCGACAGACUCGGGAGAGAACUAUUGAGGAGAAGAGAACAAGAAUUUGUUAUUUCAGUUUGAAAAAUAUAGAGUAGUGAGCAUGGUACUAAUGGUUACAACUGGUUCCUGAUUGGGGAGAUCUUUGAUGAGGGUGCUUUGACAGGUGGAGUUGUUGGGAGAAAUGUGGCUGCCGGAAACAGUAAUCGUCGCUGGCAGGCAAAAAUUGUAGGUUAGUCAACAGUGGUAUAAAUUUGUCAAUUGAAAUGUGCUUGAAAUACAUACUUAAAUAAGGGGCCGUUCGGAAUCACUCCGCUCUGUAACUCCGCCGUGGAGCGGAGCGGCACCCAGUUCAAUUUUAGCGAGCGGCGAAAGUGGUGCUCCGCCCGCUCCGCUCCCUGACGGAGGAGCAGAGGAUUCCCGAACACAGCCUAAAUGUGGUUCACAGGACGGAGGUAUGUUGGUGGUGCCUUCGAGACAGGGAACAUGGGUUCUGCCAAAGUGGUCUUGGAGACGGUAGGGGAAUAAGAAGUCAGAAAGAGGCAACAAAAAGCGGAGGAGAGUGAGGUUCUCGAACAUUGUUGAAACGAUUUGUCGAUCGGAAACCUCAGAAACCGAAGACACUUCAAGUGAUAAUCACAGCAUGGCAAGUGGGGAUGAUGACCUUCGUGCGCGUCGUGCUGGAAGUGACAAGGAGCAAGGUUAUAAUACAGUGGUGGCACUGGAAAGGGUGGCGACAGAGUCCAAAAGGGUGGAGGUGCUGCUGCACUUGGUUCUGGAAUUGGCAUGGAAGGAGGGGCAGCUGAUGAUGGAACUAAUUCUUGUGGGAGGAUCCAGCGUCAUGACUGUGACUGUGAGCCUGGAUACACAUUCAGGGGUUCUUCAGAGGAGAAACUCCAUGCACAAUUGAGGAAGAAAUAAUAAUGGAAGGGGACGAGGCGAAUGAAUCUUGCAGAGGAAGGUUGGUUGGUGGACUGAUGGCUGCAAAUAUAUAGAUGGGUUUGGACAACGUUUCCGUCUGUGCGUGUCAUCUGAGCACCGUCUGAGACGUCAAGCAUGAGACGGCGGCCGUCACAUUAAGUCUGGUUGGUGGGUGGGCCAUGGUCUGCAAAAGAAUUGCAUAUACUACUUCGAAUACAUGGGCAUAUACGUGGAGUGGUGGGAAUCUUGGCGCUAGUGGACGUAGGAGAUAAGGAGCACAUAUGAGCCCGAGCUCAUAAUAGCACUUCCCAUAAGGAAGAGAUAAUAUUGCGAGCAGCACAAAGGCUUUUAAUCCAACCGACCGGGCGGAGUCAUGUGGAGCACAGCCUGGCUUGCUGCGGCAGGUCCCACCUUUGUGGCCACUGGUUGACUGAUGCUCUCGGGAUUGAAGUUGAGCAGGCAUUCACACUCUGCUCAAAUCAAGUAAAGGAGAGAUUCCUGCUCAAUGCAACCGUGGCAUUCAGGGUUCAAAAUUUCAAUGAAAUUUCACAAAUUUCGAUGGGGUC
Molecule: RNA transcript, 2953 nt
Organism: Triticum dicoccoides
Lineage: Eukaryota; Viridiplantae; Streptophyta; Magnoliopsida; Poales; Poaceae
Exons: 7
Source: RefSeq, a predicted model, not a curated record